This 406-nucleotide ribosomal RNA is filed under the name uncultured bacterium. Its description in RNAcentral is "partial 16S ribosomal RNA". It matches the Rfam family "Bacterial small subunit ribosomal RNA", at positions 30 to 526 of the family's 1533-position model. The record is from RNAcentral.
AUUGAACGCUGGCGGCAGGCCUAACACAUGCAAGUCGAACGAGUGGCGGACGGGUGAGUAAUGUCUGGGAAACUGCCUGAUGGAGGGGGAUAACUACUGGAAACGGUAGCUAAUACCGCAUACCAUCGGAUGUGCCCAGAUGGGAUUAGCUAGUAGGUGGGGUAACGGCUUACCUAGGCUACGAUCCCUAGCUGGUCUGAGAGGGUGACCAGCCAUACGGGAACUGAGAGACGGGCCAGACUCCUGCGUGAGGCAGCAGUGGGGAAUAUUGCACAAUGGGCGCAAGCCUGCUGAAGCCAGGCCGCGUGUGUGAAGAAGGCCUUCGGGUUGUAAAGCCCUUUCAGCGGGGAGGCGUUACCCGCAGAAGAAGCACCGGCUAACUCCGUGCCAGCAGCCGCGGUAAUAC